This 396-nucleotide ribosomal RNA is filed under the name uncultured Anaerolineaceae bacterium. Its description in RNAcentral is "bacterial SSU rRNA". It matches the Rfam family "Bacterial small subunit ribosomal RNA", at positions 971 to 1382 of the family's 1533-position model. The record is from RNAcentral. Lineage: Bacteria; Bacillati; Chloroflexota; Anaerolineae; Anaerolineales; Anaerolineaceae.
UUACCAGGGUUUGACAUACAAGUAGUAGGGAAGGAAACUGGACCGACCUUCGGGGAGCUUGUACAGGUGCUGCAUGGCUGUCGUCAGCCCGUGUCGUGAGAUGUUCGGUUAAGUCCGCUAACGAGCGCAACCCUCGCUGUGUGUUACAAGUGUCACACGGAACUGCCGGUCAUAAACCGGAGGAAGUGGGAUGACGUCAAGUCAGCAUGGCCUUUAUAUCCUGGGCUACACACACGCUACAAUGGGAAGGGACAAUAGGUUGCGAAGCCGCGAGGCGGAGCCAAUCCAGCAAAACUUCCCUCAGUUCAGACUGCAGGCUGCAACCCGCCUGCAUGAAGUUGGAGUUGCUGGUAAACGCAGGUCAGCCAUACUGCGUUGAAUACGUUCCCGGGGCUU